RNAcentral lists this ribosomal RNA (697 nucleotides) under Abylopsis tetragona. RNAcentral's name for it is "partial 16S ribosomal RNA". It matches the Rfam family "Bacterial large subunit ribosomal RNA", at positions 1833 to 2597 of the family's 2925-position model. Lineage: Eukaryota; Metazoa; Cnidaria; Hydrozoa; Siphonophorae; Abylidae. The record is from RNAcentral.
GCCAGGAGCAAAUUUUCCAGGUGUGACCUGCUCAGUGGCCAUCGAGUUAAUGUUAUUAAUAAAACAGAAGUUGGUUAAACAGCUCCCUUAAUCCUAAAGGGGACGAAGUAAGCAUAAUCUGAUACCGUUUAAUUGGCGGAGUGUUGAAUGGACUAACGAGCGCAUUAUUGUCUCAAAUAGAGGUAAAAUGAAAUAAACAUUUUCGUGAAGAGGCGAAGAAAAAUAGAAGGACGAGAAGACCCCGUGAAGCUUUACUAUAGACUCGUUAAUUAUGAUUAGAAUUUUAAAAUUUAUUUGAAAAAUAAAAAAUAUUAAUAAAUUAUAACAUUUAAAUCUUAUAAUUAAAACAAUAAAUAAAGAUUUACACAUAUUUUUAUUCUGAUAUAAUUGGUAGCUAGUUUGGUAGUUUGGAUGGGGUAUCCGCAAGUUAAAAGUAACAUGAAGUUAGUAAAAUUCAAAUCAUAGUUAAUUGUGUAAAAUACAUUUUUAUACAAGGUUAGAAACGGCAAAGUGACCCUUUCAUAAAAAUUUAAUACUUUGAAAGUAAAAGAAUAAAAGCUACUCCGGGGAUAACAGGGCUAAUUUAAUCCGUGCAGUCUGUUAUGUAAGAUAAAUGUUUGCCACCUCGAUGUUGAAUUGACUAUACCUGGUGGAGGAGAGGCUACCAAGGGUUGGACUGUUCGUCCAUUAAAAAGUU